This 85-nucleotide transfer RNA is filed under the name Armatimonadota bacterium. RNAcentral's name for it is "Armatimonadetes bacterium (activated sludge metagenome) tRNA-Leu". It matches the Rfam family "tRNA". Rfam says of the family: Transfer RNA (tRNA) molecules are approximately 80 nucleotides in length. The record is from RNAcentral. Lineage: Bacteria; Bacillati; Armatimonadota.
GGGCGAGUGGCGGAAUUGGUAGACGCACUGGAUUUAGGUUCCAGCGUAGCGAUACGUGAGAGUUCGAGUCUCUCCUCGCCCACCA